RNAcentral lists this ribosomal RNA (1474 nucleotides) under uncultured bacterium. RNAcentral's name for it is "partial 16S ribosomal RNA". It matches the Rfam family "Bacterial small subunit ribosomal RNA". The record is from RNAcentral.
AGAGUUUGACCUGGCUCAGAAUCAACGCUGGCGGCGUGCCUCAGACAUGCAAGUCGAACGAUUAAGACUUCCUUCGGGAAGUGUAUAAAGUGGCGCACGGGUGAGUAACACGUAAGUAAUCUGCCCUCGAGUGGGGAACAACGUCCGGAAACGGACGCUAAUACCGCAUAAUGCAGCGGCACCGCAAGGUGACAGUUGUUAAAGGAGCAAUCCGCUUGAGGAGGAGCUUGCGGCAGAUUAGCUAGUUGGUAAGGUAAUGGCUUACCAAGGCUACGAUCUGUAACCGGUCUAAGAGGACGGUCGGUCACACUGACACUGAAUAACGGGUCAGACUCCUACGGGAGGCAGCAGUCGGGAAUUUUGGGCAAUGGGCGAAAGCCUGACCCAGCAACGCCGCGUGAAGGAUGAAGUAUUUCGGUAUGUAAACUUCGAAAGAAUGGGAAGAAUAAAUGACGGUACCAUUUAUAAGGUCCGGCUAACUACGUGCCAGCAGCCGCGGUAAUACGUAGGGACCAAGCGUUGUUCGGAUUUACUGGGCGUAAAGGGCGCGUAGGCGGCAUAUUAAGUCAGCUGUGAAAUCUCCGAGCUUAACUCGGAACUGUCAGCUGAUACUAACGUGCUAGAGUGCAGAAGGGCAUCGGAUUCUUGGUGUAGCGGUGAAUGCGUAGAUAUCGGGAGGACACUGUGGCGAAGGCGGGUCUCUGGGCAUCCUGACGCUGAGCGCGAAGCGUGGGGAGCAAACGGGAUUAGAUACCCCGGUAGUCACGCUGUAAACGAUGACGACUAGGUGUGGGGGGUUCAGUCCCUUCCGUGCCGCAGCUAACGCAUUAAGUCGUCCGCCUGGGGAGUACGGCCGCAAGGUUGAAACUCAAAGGAAUUGACGGGGGCCCGCACAAGCGGUGGAGCAUGUGGUUCAAUUCGAUGCAGAGCGAAGAACCUUACCUGGGCUUGACAUGCAGGAAGUAGAAACCGGAAACGGCGACGACCUGUUAAGUCAGGAACCUGCACAGGUGGUGCAUGGCUGUCGUCAGCUCGUGCCGUGAGGUGUUGGGUUAAGUCCCGCAACGAGCGCAACCCUCACCCUAUGUUGCCAUCGGGUAAUGCCGGGCACUCUUGGGGAACUGCCGGCGAAGAGCUGGAGGAAGGGGGGGAUGACGUCAAGUCCGUAUGCCCCUUAUGUCCAGGGCUACACACAUGCUACAAUGGCCGAUACAGAGGGUUCCCAACCCGCAAGGGGGAGGCAAUCCCACAAAGUCGGUCUCAGUUCGGAUUGCAGGCUGCAACUCGCCUGCAUGAAGUCGGAAUCGCUAGUAAGCGCAGAUCAGCAGGCUGCGCUGAAUACGUUCCCGGGCCUUGUACACACCGCCCGUCACACCACGAAAGCCGGUUGUACCAGAAGUCGCUGAGCCAACCGCAAGGGAGCAGGCGCCGAAGGUAUGGUCGGUGAUUGGGGUGAAGUCGUAACAAGGUAACC